This is a long non-coding RNA of Oxyura jamaicensis (ruddy duck), 384 nucleotides long. RefSeq lists it as uncharacterized. The record is from RefSeq and is a predicted model, not a curated record. The transcript is spliced from 3 exons. Lineage: Eukaryota; Metazoa; Chordata; Aves; Anseriformes; Anatidae.
GCCACUGGCCCCUGAAGGCAUGACCGGGGGUAAUACCAGCAGAGCAGGGGUGCCCACCUGCCGAUCCUGGCUGGAGUGGUGAUAGUGCACAGCACAGGGGUCAUGUGGGAGACUUGGGGUUGGGGUGGGGGAGUGCUCAGGGGUGAGUCCCGAGGACCUGGUAUCCCAAGGGCUCUUGAAAAAGGAUUUAGCUGAUGGGUUCAUCCACGUUUGAUACUCUUCCAUAGCUAACAGACUGACUAGCCACCUGAUAGCUUUUGGUAUUUUCAAACCAUAAUUGUUACCUGUGCUGCUCAGGGGGAGGAGGUGGAAGAGGAUGGAUUUGGGGAAGGCGUUUGUAACUUGCUUUUAGUUUCUCACUGUCUAGUCUGCUGGUGAUAGGCA